CCUACGAGAGGCAGCAGUGAGGAAUAUUGGUCACUGGGCGGAAGCCUGAACCAGCCAAGUCGCGUGAGGGAUUAAGGCUCUAUGGGUCGUAAACCUCUUUUGUCAGGGAGCAAGGUCGUCCACGUGUGGGCGUAUGGAGCGUACCUGAAGAAAAAGCAUCGGCUAACUCCGUGCCAGCAGCCGCGGUAAUACGGAGGAUGCGAGCGUUAUCCGGAUUUAUUGGGUUUAAAGGGUGCGUAGGCGGGACCUUAAGUCAGCGGUAAAAUUGCGGUGCUCAACGCCGUAGAGCCGUUGAAACUGGGGCUCUUGAGUGAGCGAGAAGUAUGCGGAAUGCGUGGUGUAGCGGUGAAAGGCAUAGAUAUCACGCAGAACCCCGAUUGCGAAGGCAGCAUACCGGCGCUCAACUGACGCUGAGGCACGAAAGUGCGGGUAUCGAACAGGAUUAGAUACCCCUGUAGUC
Molecule: ribosomal RNA, 460 nt
Filed under: uncultured bacterium
Lineage: Bacteria
Description: partial 16S ribosomal RNA
Rfam family: Bacterial small subunit ribosomal RNA
Source: RNAcentral